RNAcentral lists this ribosomal RNA (468 nucleotides) under uncultured bacterium. RNAcentral's name for it is "bacterial SSU rRNA". It matches the Rfam family "Bacterial small subunit ribosomal RNA", at positions 28 to 508 of the family's 1533-position model. The record is from RNAcentral.
GACGAACGCUGGCGGCGUGCUUAACACAUGCAAGUCGAACGGUGAUGGCCAGCUUGCUGGUCUGAUCAGUGGCGAACGGGUGAGUAACACGUGAGCAACCUACCCCAGACUCUGGAAUAACCAUGGGAAACGAUGGCUAAUACCGGAUACGAGACGCACACGCAUGUGUGGUGUCUGGAAAGAUUUAUCGGUCUGGGAUGGGCUCGCGGCCUAUCAGCUUGUUGGUGGGGUAGUGGCCUACCAAGGCGACGACGGGUAGCCGGCCUGAGAGGGCGACCGGCCACACUGGGACUGAGAUACGGCCCAGACUCCUACGGGAGGCAGCAGUGGGGAAUAUUGCACAAUGGGCGCAAGCCUGAUGCAGCGACGCCGCGUGAGGGAUGACGGCCUUCGGGUUGUAAACCUCUUUCAGCAGUGAAGAAGCGAAAGUGACGGUACCUGCAGAAGAAGCGCCGGCUAACUACGUGC